This 772-nucleotide ribosomal RNA is filed under the name uncultured organism. Its description in RNAcentral is "bacterial SSU rRNA". It matches the Rfam family "Bacterial small subunit ribosomal RNA", at positions 462 to 1247 of the family's 1533-position model. The record is from RNAcentral.
AUGCGGUAUGACGGUACCCUUUCCGAAUAAGAGGUUGCUAACUCUGUGCCAGCAGCAGCGGUAAUACAGAGACCUCGAGCGUUAUCCGGAUUUACUGGGCGUAAAGCGUCUGUAGGGGGUUUGUUAAGUUCCAAGUAAAAAUCUUAAGGCUCAACUUUAAGUUCGCUGGGAAAACUAAUAAACCUGGAGUCCAGCAGAGGUGCAUGGAACUUGCGGUGUAGGAGUGAAAUCCGUUGAUAUCGCAAGGAACACCAAAGGCGAAGGCAUUGCACUGGGCUGGUACUGACCCUGAGAGACGAAAGCGUGGGGAGCAAAACGGAUUAGAUACCCGUGUAGUCCACGCCGUAAACGAUGGAUACUAGAUGUUCGGGGAUUCGACCCCCUGGGUGUCACAGCUAACGCGUUAAGUAUCCCGCCUGGGAAGUACGGCCGCAAGGCUAAAACUCAAAGGAAUAGACGGGGAUCCGCACAAGCGGUGGAGCGUCUGGUUUAAUUUGAUAGUAAGCAAUGGACCUCACCAAGGUUUGACAUCCUAUGACAACCCUGGAAACAGGGCUUCCUUCGGGCAUAGUGACAGGUGCUGCAUGGUCGUCGUCAGUUCGUGCCGUGAGGUGUUCCGUUAAGUCGGGAAACGAACGAAACCCUCGUCGCAUGUUACAAAUUUCAUGCGAGACUGCCCGGGUCAACCGGGAGGAAGGCGGGGAUGACGUCAGAUCAGCAUGGCCCUUAUACCUUGGGCUACACAGGCGCUACAAUGGCCGGUACAAAGGGU